CUUUGCCUUCCCAGAUAUAUUGACAUCGCUGCCUGCUUAAGGGGGACAGCAGUCAGGCAGAAGCCACAUAAUGAUAGCGUUGCUCCAUGCCUGUUUGUUUUCAGAAUUCCUUACUCUUGUUAAUUAGUUAAUGCGCCCAGUGUUAUUAACUGAUCUCAGAACCAUAUCUUUACUCAGAAGGAGCUGAGUUCAUUCAUAUAAAAGUCUGGCUGAGGAGUUUGGGAGGUGGAAAGAAGAGGAAAAGAAAGUCAAAACCCAACUGCAGGAGGAAAGCUUCCGUAUCAGGCCGAGUGACAGAAGCAUUUUCUGUGUAUGCACUAAGGGAAAGGAUCUCUUGAGAUGGCACAUUGGUCCGCAAAGGAGUAAAGAGAUUGGUACUUUCUUUUAUGUUGAGAUCUUUACUGCUCAUUUCUCUAGAGUUAUUCUUUCUUGUUACAGUGUGUAUUAGUUCAUUCUCAUGUUGCUAUAAAGAGAUGCCUGAGACUGGGUAAUUUAUAAGAAAAGAGGUUUAAUUGGCUCCUGGUUCUGCAGGCGAUACAGGAAACAUGGCUGGGGAGGCCUCCGGGAGCUUUUACUUAUAGCAGAAGACAAAGCAGGAGCGAGCAUCUUCACAUGGCCGGAUCAGGAGGAAGGUUGGGGAGGGGGUGCCAUACGCUUUUAAACAACCGGAUCUCAUGAGAAUGCCCUCACCUACAGUAGGAAGAGGGGAUGGUGCUAAACCAUUCAUGAGAACUCUGUCCCCAUGAUCCAAUCACCUCCCACCAAGCCACACCCCAACACUGGGGUUGACAAUUAAACAUGAUGGGGUUGACAAUUGACCAUGGAUGGGGACACAGGUCCAAACUAUACUGCAGUGGCAGAGAAAUCAUAAGCAGUCAGGUUGAUAGAGUAUAACAGAAAGUUCAAAAUGGAAAGAGUAUUUCUUAGGAAAGGGAAUGCCUUAUUCUAUUGCCUUCCAUGGAUUUAUUCUAGAGAAGCCAGGAAGAAAAUGAGAAAACAUCACAUAGGUGUGUUGGAAAGUAAGUUGCCUGAGCAGAUGGCAACAGGGGUAGGGACAAGUCAGCAAAAGUUAUUGAUUAUCCACUGCCUGCAGAGUAUGGGAGACACAGUCAGGGCAGGCUAAGGUGUGAGCCUCCUCAUUCAUUCUUCACAGAAAUAAUCAAGUGGCAGAGAUGGGACAAACACACUAGAAAAGUGUAGCAUCGUUUUAUAUUGCUUCAAAAGGGCAGAAAUUCAUUAAAUAUGUGACAUAAAAUAUCCAGUCAUAAUAUUUAUUGAAAGUCUUCAGAUAAUUUGCUAUAUCUGAUCUGUGCCAUUUCUGAGCACUAUGUGAAAGUUAUUUAAUCACUCUUGAGCCUCAGUUGACACAAUUUGUAAAACAGGAAUUAUGAAGUCAUAGGAUGGUUUAUAUAAAUCCUGUAGCAGUUUUUCCAUACACAUUGAUGAAUGUGUAAAUGAAUGAAUGAAUGAAUUACUUAGCACAGUGCUUGGCACAUAAUACUUAUUAAAUGGAUCUAUUAUUGCUAUGAUGGUAUUAUUUUUGUAAGCCAUUAAAGAAAGUGGAUGAUGUCUCUUCCCUUGUAACAUAACUCUCACAUAUACCCUUGCAACUUUGUCCAUUGAUAUAUCAGUUGAGAAAUGGUUGGAUAAUUUGCAUCCUCACAAUUUUGUAGAGGAGAAUAAAUUAUAAUUAUCACUAACAUUUUCCUGCCUCUGUUUCCUUCAAGGUAUUUGGAGAGAGGCCAGAAAUAAGAGUUUAGAGGUGCCACGUACUUCAAGAAAAGACCAAUUUUCAGUGGGAUUUUGAAUAUACAGCUUGGCACCAAGAAAUAAAGAAAUAAUGUGGAUUACAGAAAUGACCUGAGAGAAACUCAAAAGCUUGGGUUAACCAAUUUGUUUGCUGUAGUUUAGAGUGAGAAAGAGUAACUGGGACUUUCAUAUGAUACAACAGAGUAGAAAAUCUGCAGGGUUCUCAAUGAAUUUCUAUCUGAAAGUUUGCCUAGAAAAUGCAGGGAAAAUGAUAUAUUUCCAUUUAUAGUGCAACUAUUAUAGAUUGACUGAACAAAAGAUCUAUUAUGGCUGAUUAAUUUGGUCAAAUGACAUUAAACGGCUUGCUUUCCUGUUGUAAUUUGCCCGGGUGAAAGAUUUGGUGGCAAAAAUGGUGAAUGAGGAAAAGGCAAGGUGAUGAAAACAGAAAAAAAAAACACCUAACAUUUACCAAAUAUCUGCUAUAAAACAGGCACUGUGCUAGUUACUUUAUAAGAGUUAUCUAAUUUAUCUGCCAUAAUAACCCCAAGUGAUAGUCAAAAACCAGAUUAAUCUGACUCUAAGUCAAUCCUUUUAUUGGUAACCUUUAAUGAGAAAACCUAACUUAUCUAGGGCAGGAACCCCCAGCCCCCGGGCCCUGGACUGGUACCAGUCUGUGGGCUUGUUAGGAACUGGACCACACAGCAGGAGGUGAGCGAGCAUUAUCGCCUAUGCUCCACCUCCUGUCAGAUCAGCAGUGGCAUUAGAGUCUCAGAGGAGCACAAACCCUAUUGUGAAAUGCACGUGUGAGGGAUCUAGAUCGCUUGCCCAUUAUGAGAAUCUAACUAAUGCCUGAUGAUCUAAGGUGAAACAGUUUCAUUCUGAAACCAUCUCCCAACCACCCCAUGUCCCCAUCCGUGGGAAAAUUGUCAUUUAUGAAACCAGUCUCUUGUGCCAAAAAGGUUGGGGACCGCUGAUCUAGGGGUCAGCAAACUACAACCUAUGACCCAAAUCUAGUGCCUGCCUGUUCUUGGAAAUAAAGUUUUAUUGGAAUGCAGCCAUGUCCAUUUAUGUAUCAUCUAUGGCUGCUUUCAUGCUACAAAAGCAGAGUUCAAUUGAUGUGAUAUUCUGUAUGGUCUGGAAAGUCUAAAAUAGCUACUAUACAGCCCUUUACAGAAAGUUUGAUGACAGAAAAAGUUUGACCCCUUUUACUGCCCUGACACUUUGAGCAAGGUCCUCUUUGAGAGUUUCUUCCACAAGAAAACAGAGAUAAUGUUGCUGGCCUUGUCUAAUGUACAGUGUUAUAUGAAAAUUGUACAUAAACUGAAAAAUGGUCUACCAUAUAGUAUUGGUUGCUUUUUCUUCCAACAUGCUGUUAGGAGAAUUUUCAAAUGUAAAACAAAAAAGUGAAAGAAUAUACAAUGAAUGCACACAUACCUGCCCUUAGAUUCUACAAUUAACAUUUUGCUGUAUUUGUUUUAUUACCUAUGUACCCACCUGUCAAUCUCUCUAUGCAUUCAUCAAUUUAUCUUUCUUUUUAUGUAUUUCAAUACAUAGAUGUCAGUAAAAUUCACCCUAAACACAUUAGCUUGCAUGCUGUCAUUAGUUGGAGGUAUUUAUUUACUUUUUUCUUAGGUAAAAUUUACACAUAAUGAAAUACACAAAACUUAAAUGUACCAUUUGAUGAAUGUUGGCAAAAGCAUAUACUUGGUAACACAGACUUUUUUGAGACACAAAACUUUACUAUCACCCCAGAAAAUUUUCUUCCUUCCCAGUCAAUACCCACCUCACUCCACUCCCAGGAGCAACCUCUGUUCUGAUUUUUUUUCACUAUAGAUUAGUUUUGCCUAUUUUAGAACUUCAUGUAAAUGGAACAUACACUAUAUACUCAUUUGAGAAAGGCUUCUUUUACUCAGCAUAAUAUGCUCAGUAACAGUAGGUUUUUUUUUCCUUCUUCUUUAAGAUUAAUUGUAUGAAUACACCACAGUUUGUUUCUCCAUUCACUUGUUAAUUAACAUCUGGGCUGUUUUUAAUUUUUUGUUCCAAAUAAAGCCUUCCAUAAACAUUCUUAUGCACGUGUUCUUGGGCAUAUGUUUUCUAUCUCUUGUGGAAACAUCUAGGUGUGGAAUUGCUAGGUUAUAGGGUAGGUGUUUGUAUUAUUUUAUAAGAAACUGCCAAAUGUUUUUUCCAAGUGGUUGUGCAAUUUCACACCCUCCACUCACAACAUAUUAGAGUUCUGGUUGUUUUACAUCCUUGCCAACAUUUGGUGUUGUCGGUCUUUAAUUUUAGCCUUUCUGGUAGUUGAUAGUAGUAUCUCAUGUCAGAUUUCAUUUGCAUUAGUCCCCAACUUUUUAUGUAUUGACCAAUUUGUAGGUGUCUGUUAAAGUCUAAUGUUCAUUUUUUAACUGGGUUGUUUAUCUUUUUAGUUUUGAUUUGUUGGAGACACUUAUAUUUUCUGGACACUGAUCCUUGGUCGGAUAUAUUCUUGAGAAUAUUUUCUUCCACUUGUGGCCUAUUCAUUUUCUUAACAGUGACCUUUGAAGUACAGAAGCUUUAAAUUUUAACAAAGUCUAACAUACUUUUUUUUUAAAUAUUGUGACUACUAUGUCCUAUAUACUGUCUUAAGAAACGUCUGCCUACCCCAUGUUGUGAAGAUAUUUUCCUAUGUUUUCUUCUAAAUGCUUUAGAGUUUAGUUUUUAUGUCUAGAUGUAUGAUUUUUCUUGGAUUACUUGUAGUGUGUAAAGUAGGAGUUGAGGUUUAUAUUUAUUCAUAUGGGUAUUCUGUUGUUUUACAUGAUUUGUUCAGGUCAUUUUCCUUAUUGAAUUGCUUUGGUGCCUUUGUUGAAAAUAAAUCAAUGAUAUAAGUGCAAGUCUAUUUCCCUUGCAUUGAUCUUUGUGUCUAUCUUAAUGCCAGUACCAUGCUGUCUUGAUUAUUGUUUCUUUCUAUAAUAGUAAAUUUUAAAUUCAGGUAGUGUCACUCUUUCAACUUUGUUAUUAUUUUUAAAGAUUGUUUUGGAUAGUCAAAGUUCUUUAUAUUCACAUACAAGUUUUAUAAUAAGUUUGUCUAUUUUUUAAAAAAAAAAAAUCCUUGUGGUGUUAUGACUGGAUCAUGUUGAAUCUGCAGUUCUGAGGAUAAUUUUCAUUUUAAUAAUAUGGGAUCUUGCAAACUUUGAGUGUAGUAGAUUUCUACCUUAAUGUAGAUCUUUAAUUUCUCUCAGCAAUGAUUAUAGUUCACAAUGUGGAGGAUUUACACAUGUCUUUCAUUAAAUUUAUCCAAAGUGCUUUAUGGUUUUUGGUAUUUUCAAAAGUAGAACUGUUCUUUUUUUAAAAUUUGAUUUUCCAAUCACUUGCAGCCAUCAUACAAAAUACAACUGAUUUCUGUAUGUUGAUCUUGUAUCCUGAAACCAAGCUAAAUACACUUUUUAGUUCUAGGAGUUGUUUCAUAAAUUAUUUAGGCUUUUCUAUGUUAACCAUCAUGUCAUUUGUAAAAAGAGCCAGUUUUGCUCUUCCUCUCCAAUCUUGUGGCUCUCUUUUCUUUGCCUUAGUAUACUGUCUAAGGUCUCCUGUAUAAGGUUGAAUAGAAGUAGUAAGAGUGCCAAUACUCAGGAGAAUGGCGUGAACUCGGGAGGCGGAGCUUGCAGUGAGCCAAGAUUGAGCCACUGCACUCCAGCCUGGGUGACAGAGCGAGACUCUAUCUCAAUAUUUAAAAAAAAAAAAAAA
Macaca fascicularis (crab-eating macaque) is the source of this 5466-nucleotide long non-coding RNA. Lineage: Eukaryota; Metazoa; Chordata; Mammalia; Primates; Cercopithecidae. The record is from Ensembl.